Long non-coding RNA from Rosa rugosa (rugosa rose), 762 nucleotides. RefSeq lists it as uncharacterized. The transcript has 3 exons. The record is from RefSeq and is a predicted model, not a curated record. Lineage: Eukaryota; Viridiplantae; Streptophyta; Magnoliopsida; Rosales; Rosaceae.
UCCCUCCCCAGUUCUCUCCCGAGCCCAGCCGCGCCUCCUCCUUUCGCCUCCAUCGUUCUCCCAACUCCGGCCACCUUUGGCCGAGUUCUUGGAGGGCUUUUGCUCGCCUUGGUCUAUACAUGAAGUCUGGGCAACCAAUCGAACUUGAAACGAGCUGGAGAAGAAGAAUCGAGACCGAGAAGUGGGACUGCCAACGACAAAAUCGCUCUUCCCCCACCGUUUUCUGGGCUCUCCUUUGUCCGGCCAUAUCUCCCUCCACAGACCUCUAAUCGACUUGCUUCCAAAAUCAAAUUCGUUCGCCCUGAAGUCCUUUAAAACUUUCAAGAAGACAUCGAUGGGAAAUAACCAUCGUGGUGGUCUCUGCAAGUCGAAGAACAUGGUGCAGCCGAGUUGGAAAUCGCCUCACUUCGCCACUAUUGUUCUCCCUCCUCCGGUCACCUUUUGCCAUUUUUCUUGAAGGGAUUAUGCACUCCUGAGGAUGUAGAUCAUUUAUCCUAAGGUGGGUUGCAUCAAAUCGAGCUGUGGUGAUCGAAUUCGCACGAUUUGGAAACUAGGGUUCAUCCGAUCUGAAAAUGUUGUGAGGUGAUUGACGGUCUCCCUUGGGUGAGCGAUUUCGGUGUGUAUUGUGUUGAAUUGAAGACGCAGCGGGAAUAUCGAGCGGGUAAUCCUGCAGGUCAGGAGAAUCAGGGCGGUGAUCGAGUGGGUUAGAGUAUUUGUUAUAGUUUUACAACAUUUGUAAUUGUGAGGUGAGUUAUGCUCAUU